Molecule: unclassified non-coding RNA, 200 nt
Filed under: soil metagenome
Description: partial contains internal transcribed spacer 2 and large subunit ribosomal RNA
Source: RNAcentral
UCGAGCGUCAUUACAACCCUCAAGCUCUGCUUGGUAUUGGGCCUCACCGGCAACGGUGGGCCUUAAAAUCAGUGGCGGUGCCAUUCGGCUUCAAGCGUAGUAAUUCUUCUCGCUUUGGAGAUCCGGGUGAGUGCUUGCCAGCAACCCCCAAUUUUUUACAGGUUGACCUCGGAUCAGGUAGGGAUACCCGCUGAACUUAA